UGAAUACGAGAUGCUACGGCGUCGAAGCAGUGUAUGACAGACUUCCAAGAAAAGCUCGCAAUGUCAUAAAUAAAGAAUGCCUGUACCAUAACCGACACAGGUGGGUAGGUAGAGUAUACUAAGGGGCGCGAGAUAACUCUCUCUAAGGAACUCGGCAAAAUAACUCCGUAACUUCGGGAGAAGGAGUGCCUUCUUUAAGAAGGUUGCAAUAACAAGAUCCAAGCAACUGUUUAUCAAAAACACAGGUCUCCGCUAAGUCGUAAGACGAUGUAUGGGGGCUGACGCCUGCCCAGUGCCAGAAGGUUAAAGAAGCUGGUUAGCAAUAGCGAAGCUGGUGACUGAAGCCCUGGUGAACGGCGGCCGUAACAAUAACGGUCCUAAGGUAGCGAAAUUCCUUGUCGGGUAAGUUCCGACCCGCACGAAAGGCGUAAUGAUUUGGAUACUGUCUCGGAGAGGGACUCGGUGAAAUAGACUUGUCUGUGAAGAUGCGGACUACCUGCACCAGGACAGAAAGACCCUAUGAAGCUUUACUGUAACCUGAAAUUGAAAUUGGACUUUAUUUGCGCAGUAUAGGUGGGAGGCGUUGAAAGUAAUCUUGCGGGAUUAGUGGAGCCAUCAGUGAGAUACCACUCCUAUAAUGUUAGAUUUCUAACUUUGGAUCAUGAUCUGGUCAAAGAACAGUUUCAGGCGGGCAGUUUGACUGGGGCGGUCGCCUCCCAAAUGGUAACGGAGGCGUACAAAGGUUUCCUCUGAACGGGUAGAAAUCGUAUCUAGAGUGUAAAGGCAUAAGGAAGCUUGACUGUGAGACCUACAAGUCGAGCAGGGACGAAAGUCGGUCUUAGUGAUCUGACGGUGCUGAGUGGAAAGGCCGUCACUCAACGGAUAAAAGUUACUCUAAGGAUAACAGGCUGAUCUCCCCCAAGAGUUCACAUCGACGGGGAGGUUUGGCACCUCGAUGUCGGCUCAUCGCAUCCUGGGGCGGUAGUACGUCCCAAGGGUUGGGCUGUUCGCCCAUGAAAGCGGUACGCGAGCUGGGUUCAGAACGUCGUGAGACAGUUCGGUCCAUAUCCGGUGUAGGCGUUAGAAUAUUGAGAGGAGCCUUCUCUAGUACGAGAGGACCGAGAAGGACAUACCUCUGGUGUACCAGUUAUCGUGCCAACGGUAAACGCUGGGUAGCUAUGUAUGGAGAGGAUAACCGCUGAAAGCAUCUAAGUGGGAAGCCCACCUCAAGAUGAGUAUUCUCAUCAA
RNAcentral lists this ribosomal RNA (1248 nucleotides) under metagenome. RNAcentral describes it as "bacterial LSU rRNA". It matches the Rfam family "Bacterial large subunit ribosomal RNA", at positions 1564 to 2820 of the family's 2925-position model. The record is from RNAcentral.